GAACCCCUUCGGGGGCGGGGCGAGUCUCCAUCCUGGCCGCGACUUACGCGACACUUUUUUGGAGAAAGAGAGCUUCCUGAAUUAAGGGCAGUGGGGUGAUAGGCCGAAUGGAAGGGGAGGGAGGCAUUUCAUCCUUCCCGGGACAUAGAGUUCGAAGAAGACCCGCCUCCUGUAGACCCGGAAUUCGGCCCCUCGAGAGCGGCUCGGACCGUGCCGGCAGCCGCCCGGUGCGAGGACGCAGGUGGGCGCUGCGGAGUUUAGGUGUAUUCGUUUCCUGAGGCUGCUGUGACAAAGUACCACGAACUGAGUGGCUUCAGACAACAGACGUUUGUUUUCUCACAGUUCUGGAGGGCCAGUCCCCACAACCCCACCCCGGGCAGAGAAGAUCAGCAGAUCUUUGCUUUUCUGCAGCCUUGCCUGGCCCUCCCUCCUGAUUUAGCUGACCGGCCAGGCGCAGGCUGGAGCUGCCCACACCGGCCUGCCUACCAGCCCGAAGCAAGACGCAUUCAGGUGAAAAGGGCGAGGAUGGCCCUACCGCAGUAAAAACCAACAAACCCAGUUCCCUGGCUGUGUGUGGCUCUGUGCUUUAUUUGUUUGCAGAUCAGAAGAGUGAGGAAGGUUGCAGGAAGGCUGAGCAGAGGGGCCAUGGAAUCCAGGAUGUCAGGACAGAGAUGCCACCUUGUUCUAUGCUACCCCACCCCUCCCACCCCACCCCUCCCCUCCCAUCUGACCUGGGGGGGGGCGGGACAGAGGAGCCCCACCCAGUGAGGACAGGUUCACCGCCUCUCUGACCCUCUGCUAAGAGCAUUCAGCUGACCCUCUGUCCCUCACGGUGGCCCUGGCAAAGGGGAGAGAGCCAGGGGCUGUGGGGGCCAUGGCGGGGGCCGUGAGGGGAUGAAGGGGCUGUCAGAGAGCAGGGCAUCCAUCCAGUAUCAGCUUUGGGGCUUCAUCAAUAUCUUGCCAGGGUGCAACACAUACAGUUCUGCAAGAUUCAGAAUAGCCUCAAAUCGCCACAUUUUCAGAAAACGGAUGAAAAGCUGAUCAAACACACAUUUGAUGCCAGGAUGAAGGGGAGCUGGGUCCUGCACGAUCGAGUUGGAGGCAAAGUGCGGGCUGGAGUUCUCUACAGCUGGAGGAGGAGCCGUCAGUCAUCCAUCAGGCGGCUGGUGCUGGACUGGCCCUGGGUUAUGUGGCUCCCAGUUACCUCCACGUGGAGACCAGUUCUUGGGCUGUUGAGGGUCCAGAUGGCUUCCAGGAAUUCUCCCACCGAUGAAUGAAGAAGAGGGCAUCCGAUGAACACAAUGGAAUAAGAUUUAAAUUUCCUGGUGAUUUGACAUGAAAUAUUGACAUCAAUGAACAUAACACAUAACUCAAAAUAGGUCCCUGCAGAGCAUAUCACGGCCACACUGGGUAUUGAGGGUCAUCCAUCCAAGGAGAAGGAUAGUCCCUGCGUGAGGAAACUGGACAUGCCCUGAAUUCUUCCUGCUCAUCUAUGAAGGAAACUUGGUCGAAGUUUAUAUUCUCUCGAUAGAAUAUGACAUUCCAGAAUCCUUGUCCAACGAAGAGGGGGAUCAUGUCCCUCCUGGGGGGCUGUGACAUCACGUGUGUAAAGUGCCUGCAGGCCUCCUGCGUCCGUAACAGAUGCCAGUUCUUAGCCCCUUCCCUCUGUCUUUUCCUGGUGCGUGUCUCACAAAGAUGGUUUCAGUUCCUCCCAUGGGCCCCGCUAAGUGGGUGAGUAUUAUCUUUGCCUUUGCUCUGAACUUCCGCAUAGAGAGUGGAUCCCAAGAGCCUGAGAAAGCCUUUUUCUAAAUCAAAAUGACCUGUGAACAAUCUCAGCCAAUGAUGCGAGGGGUUGGGAUCAGAGUGUCGAG
Long non-coding RNA from Eubalaena glacialis (North Atlantic right whale), 1871 nucleotides. RefSeq lists it as uncharacterized. The transcript has 6 exons. The record is from RefSeq and is a predicted model, not a curated record. Lineage: Eukaryota; Metazoa; Chordata; Mammalia; Artiodactyla; Balaenidae.